CCAUUGCGAAGGCGAUCUGCUGGAACUCAACUGACGCUAAGGCGCGAAAGCGUGGGGAGCAAACAGGAUUAGAUACCCUGGUAGUCCACGCCCUAAACGAUGUACACUAGUUGUUGGGAUGCUAGUCAUCUCAGUAAUGCAGCUAACGCAUUAAGUGUACCGCCUGGGGAGUACGGUCGCAAGAUUAAAACUCAAAGGAAUAGACGGGGACCCGCACAAGCGGUGGAGCAUGUGGUUUAAUUCGAAGAUACGCGAAGAACCUUACCUGGGCUUGAUAUCCUAAGAACCUUAUAGAGAUAUGAGGGUGCUAGCUUGCUAGAACUUAGAGACAGGUGCUGCACGGCUGUCGUCAGCUCGUGUCGUGAGAUGUUGGGUUAAGUCCCGCAACGAGCGCAACCCACGUAUUUAGUUGCUAACGGUUCGGCCGAGCACUCUAAAUAGACUGCCUUCGUAAGGAGGAGGAAGGUGUGGACGACGUCAAGUCAUCAUGGCCCUUAUGCCCAGGGCGACACACGUGCUACAAUGGCAUAUACAAUGAGACGCAAUACCGCGAGGUGGAGCAAAUCUAUAAAAUAUGUCCCAGUUCGGAUUGUUCUCUGCAACUCGAGAGCAUGAAGCCGGAAUCGCUAGUAAUCGUAGAUCAGCCAUGCUACGGUGAAUACGUUCCCGGGUCUUGUACUCACCGCCCGUCACACCAUGGGAGUUGAUUUCACUCGAAGCCGGAAUACUAAACUAGUUACCGUCCACAGUGGAAUCAGCGACUGGGGUGAAGUCGUAACAAGGUAACCGUAGGAGAACCUGCGGUUGGAUCACCUCCUUUCUA
This 823-nucleotide ribosomal RNA is filed under the name Campylobacter jejuni. RNAcentral's name for it is "bacterial SSU rRNA". It matches the Rfam family "Bacterial small subunit ribosomal RNA", at positions 708 to 1533 of the family's 1533-position model. Lineage: Bacteria; Pseudomonadati; Campylobacterota; Epsilonproteobacteria; Campylobacterales; Campylobacteraceae. The record is from RNAcentral.